AGUGAACGCUGGCGGUAGGCCUAACACAUGCAAGUCGAACGGCAGCACAGUAAGAGCUUGCUCUUACGGGUGGCGAGUGGCGGACGGGUGAGGAAUACAUCGGAAUCUACUUUUUCGUGGGGAUAACCGAGGGAAACUUACUCUUAUACCCCAAAAGACCUACGGGUGAAAGCAAGGGAUCUUCGGAGCUUUUGCUGUUGAAUGAGGCGAUGUCGGAUUAGCCAGUUGGCGGGGUAAAGGCCCACCAAGGCCACGAUCCGUAGCUGGUCUGAGAGGGUGAUCAGCCACACUGGAACUGAGACACGGUCCAGACUCCUACGGGAGGCAGCAGUGGGGAAUAUUGGACAAUGGGCGCAAGCCUGAUCCAGCAAUGCCGCGUGGGUGAAGAAGGCCUUCGGGUUGUAAAGCCCUUUUGUUGGGAAAGAACAGCAGCAGGUUAAUACCCGGCUGUUCUGACGGUACCCAAAGAAUAAGCACCGGCUAACUUCGUG
RNAcentral lists this ribosomal RNA (491 nucleotides) under uncultured bacterium. RNAcentral's name for it is "partial 16S ribosomal RNA". It matches the Rfam family "Bacterial small subunit ribosomal RNA", at positions 29 to 507 of the family's 1533-position model. The record is from RNAcentral.